Molecule: long non-coding RNA, 3060 nt
Filed under: Nicotiana tabacum (common tobacco)
Lineage: Eukaryota; Viridiplantae; Streptophyta; Magnoliopsida; Solanales; Solanaceae
Description: long non-coding RNA (NTAB_LNC005568)
Source: RNAcentral
CCACUUCUAAAGGCAUAUUUGGCCAAGUUUGGUCCAAUUCGGAUCUAGCUCAUAAUCCUAGGCCCAAUACCUACUAACCUAACCCUAAAAUCCAAAAUAAAACCUAGACCCCUAGACCCUCUAGACUAACGCCUAAAAAUCUAAAAAAGCAUCUAACCUAAGACUAGAAAAUCAACCGCAUUAAUCAAAAAAGAACCCCCACCCCCAGCAAUCCUCUUCCUCUCCAUUUCAAAACCAGCGACAAACCUUACUAUCUCCCCUCCAUGGCUUGAGCUUAGCCAACAACCAGACCAAAACCAACGACCCAUGAGUACCAUCUUCUUCAACCUAGAGACCCCAUGAACUUCAUCUCCUUUACACCUAAAAACCUAAGACAACAACAACAGCCGCAACUGAUCACCCCAGCUCAUCUCCCAGCAGCUUCAAUACACAGACACACAUAGAUAUAGACAGACAUGGGAGGGAGAUAGGGGAACAACAAUAGAAAAAGGGAGGAGAAAUAGUGGAAAAAAAUAAAAAAUACAGCAACAGAAAAGGGAGGAGAAGGAACGCCGGGGGUGUUUGUUUGUCCAUCUCUGAGGUGUUUUUAAGUCUUGGAAGUACUCACAUUAAGGUCAGGUCGUUUUUUCAGUUUGAGUCAAUUCUCUGGUUUGAAAAAUGGAUUUCGUGUGAGAUUCGUUUGGAGCUAACGACCGUGAGGUGCCGCUCGAGGUUUAAGUUCGUGAUUCCUGUCCGAAUUUGCUGCUGUUUUCUCGGACAGAUUUCGUGGAUUGGGAGUUUGUAUCUAUUGAUUCUCAAAACCUUAAAGGAUAUUGGCUGAACAGGUUCAGCUCAGCUCUUUCUCUUCUCAUUGUUUUUUGUUAUGGAUUGUGGGGUUUGUGUUUGUUUGGUCGACAUCCUUUAUUAAAUUGCUUUUAAUUGAUUAUUCUGAUCUUGAAUCUCGUCAUCUAAGUUGGAUUGAUUCUAUUUGUUGAUAGUUCUUGUUUGUGGUUGAUAUUAAGUUAGAGUUGGAUUAAACAUAAUGAUAUGUAGAUCAAGAAUUCGGCAGUAAGGUUGGGUACUAAAAUAAAAGACGGUUUGAGCAUAAAUGGGUGUCCACAGGUUCAGUAUAUAUGAUAUUUGUUUACUGGAAUAUGCUUUUUUGACUAUUUUGUGGUUUUGAUUUGAAUCGGUGUCGAAACGCUCGGUUUAGCUAAUACUUAGAAUGAGCUAUAGAUUUAAACAAUAAAUAUGAAAUAAAUUCUAUGAGUUGUUGAACAAUAUGUGAAUAACAAAUGUUAUUGUUGAGGUAUAGUUGACAUGGCUGAAGCUAAUUGUCGGAUUUAGAAACAAAGUAUGCAUAUAGUACCUUUGCAAGUCUGGUUGCCGUUUUAACAUGAUUUCCUAAUUAAUCAACUUGAAAAAUAUUAUGUCUGUAUAUGUGUCCUAUUUGAGGAAAUAGUGUGUGUAGUAUUCUGUUUAAGGAAGGAAAUGGUAGAUUAAAAUAAGUCAUAUUUUGCUGAAAACACUGUUGUCUAACUCAUAAACAUCGUAGAAAUACCUUUAGGCACGUUUUGAAGUUAUUAUCGUGAUUAUGUACAUGCUCGCGUGACAUGCUUACAUUUUUCCAUAAUGAACUUUCGUAGUUUGAUUUAGGCGCGUUAAUUAAAUAAUUGUCAUAGCUACGGGUACGGUUCCCGUGAUGUGGUCGUGACAUUUAAUUUCUAAAAAUUCGGGGGUACAUUUAUAUGACCCGGCCACAAAAUCCGGGAAUGCCUAACACCUUCUCUCGGAUUAACAGAAUUCCUUACCCGGAUUUCUGUGUUCGCGAACUGUAAAACAAAGUCAAUCUUUCCUCGAUUCUGGAUUUGAACCAGUAACUUGGGACACAAAAAAUUAUCCCAAGUGGAGACUCUGAUUUGAAUAAAUAAUCAUGUUUCGAUUGUCACUUUAAUUGAAAAACCUCCCUUAUACCAUUCCGGGGUGGUAAAAAGGAGGUGUGACAAUGUUCAGGAAACUAUUUCCCAUAUAUUCUUUGAGUGCCCUAAUGCUGUCCAAUUCUAGAAUGAAAUUCUAUCAAAAUCUUCAAAGAAUAGUUCACAACAUGCUCCAUUUUUCAAUGGCCAUCAGUGGCAAUCAACAUGGAACUCUAUCAAAAAUGUCCCUUUCAACAGCUAUAUCCUUUGGGACAAUCUCAUUCCCUUCUGCUUUUGACACAUAUGGUUAACUAGGAACAAUAACUUAUUCAAUAAUAAAAAGGAAUACAUCAACACCACAAACACAGUCUCAAAAGCUACUGAAUACCUUAUGCUUACAAAAAAUGACUCUUCAAAAGUAACACAUCAUAUUGUGUUAAAAUGGGAGCCCCCAACCAGAGGUUUAUACAAGCUAAAUACAGAUGGAGCAGCAAGGGAGAACCCAGGAAUAGGAGGAUUAGGAGGAGUAUUUAGGAACCAUAAUGGUGACUGGAUACUGGGAUACAUGGACAAUAUCUCUCACACAACAAACACUAGGACAGAAUUACAAGCACUCCUACGGGGUCUGCAACUAGCAGAGCAAAACAACUUGGCUCCCCUAGAAAUAAACACUGAUUCAUCUGAAACCAUCAAUAUGCUAUUGCAUGGAAGUCUGAUUUAUGAUCCUCUAAUUUGUGAAUGUAGGUCACUAAUUCACAUGAUGGACAACGUGGUAGUGAAGCACAUCUAUCGAGAGAAGAAUAUAGUAGCUGAUGCAUUGGCCAAAGAAAUAGCAAAGGAAAUCUUUUUGAACAAGUCUAGGAUAUUAUCAGUUACUUCGAUGUUUGUCAACGAUAAAUUUUGGGCAGACAUCCUAGGAACUGAAUUAGUUAGAUCUUUUGUGGGUUGUAAUAUAAACACAAUCGUGCAUAACAUUACAACUAUGGGGGUACUAUAAUACCCCAGCAAUGUCCCUGAUGUAAUUUCUUUUGUUAACUAGCAUAUUAAUAUUAUAUCCCGUUUAACCAAAAAAAAGAAGGAAAUAACAAAACAUGCUUGCGCACCCACAAAAGGAAAUAAUACUGUACUUUUUUUGGAGUGUCUAUAUAGAGUUGGGAGAAGGGGG